Molecule: RNA transcript, 7236 nt
Organism: Alosa sapidissima (American shad)
Lineage: Eukaryota; Metazoa; Chordata; Actinopteri; Clupeiformes; Clupeidae
Gene name: activin receptor type-2B-like
Exons: 12
Source: RefSeq, a predicted model, not a curated record
UGGAGGUGGAGCCAUUUUGAACGGAGCCACCUACUCGUGUAGCACCUAGGGAAUGGAAGUCCGGUAUGUUUUUAUAGAUAAAAGGGGAAAAUGGGUGCCCGACAAGUUGGCGUCGUUUUUCUGUGAAAGAUCAAACUUUGUUUCGUAGACAUGAAAUCUCACGUGUUCCUGUCAAGUCGUUGCUUUUCGAAUUGCUCCAGCAGCUCAACCCGUGCAAUUGUUUGGACCAGUGGCUAUUGAUAAACUCGCUGUAAGUUAUCCAACAGUUAGCUAAAAGCAUAGUGCUAGCUUAGCACAGUCACAGCCGGAGGCCCGCUGGGUCCCCUGUUUAGCUCGCGUGUAGGGGGCUAACUACCUCUUUAAAUGUUUGCAAAGGAAACCCGACUAAAGGAAACCAAGCUGCCACGCGUCGCCCUCACUGAAGGAAUAUGUGUGAUCCCUGGCUGACUUUUGCACUCGUUUGGGGAACUUUCUGCACAGGGCUCAGUCAGGGGGAAGUGGAGACUCGGGAGUGUGUGUUCUACAAUGAUAACUGGCGGACGGAGCGAACCAAUCAGAGCGGGCUGGAGCGCUGUGAGGGCGAGAAGGACAAACGGCUGCACUGCUACGCCUCCUGGCUCAACUCCUCCGGAACCAUCCGCCUCGUCAAGAAGGGCUGCUGGCUCGACGACUUCAACUGCUACGACAGGCAGGAAUGCGUGGCUACGGAGGAGAACCCCCAGGUGUUUUUCUGCUGCUGCGAGGGAAACUACUGCAAUGACAAGUUCACUCACCUGCCGGAGGCCAUCGCACCUGCAGUGAAGAUCCGCCCUCCCCCGCCCCCUCCCUCGGUGCUGAGUGUGCUGGUGUACUCCCUGCUGCCGUUGUGUCUGCUCUGCCUGCUGCUGCUGCUGGGGGGGUGGCUGUACCGCCAGCGCAAGCCCCCCUACGGACACGUGGACCUCAGCGAGGAUCCUGGUCCCCAGUCUACCUCACCGCUUGACAGCCUGAAGCCACUGCAGUUGUUAGAGGUCAAAGCCAGGGGGCGCUUUGGCUGUGUAUGGAAGGCCCAGCUCAUGAACGAGCAUGUGGCCGUCAAAAUUUUCCCCAUUCAGGAUAAGCAGUCAUGGCAGAACGAGCGGGACAUCUUCUUGACCCCUGGCAUGGGCCAUGAGAACCUGCUUCACUUCAUCGCUGCGGAGAAGCGCGGAACCAACCUGCAGAUGGAACUCUGGCUCAUCACUGAGUUCCACGAAAGGGGCUCUCUGAUGGACUAUCUGAAGGGGAAUGCAGUGAGCUGGCCGGAUCUAUGUUUGAUCUUAGAGAGCAUGUGCAAAGGCUUGGCCUACCUACACGAGGACAUGCCCUACAGACAGGAUGAGCCCAAACCAGCUAUAGCACACAGGGACUUCAAGAGCAAGAAUGUGCUGCUGAAGACUGACCUCACAGCAGUGAUUGCUGACUUUGGACUCGCCGUCCGCUUUGAGCCGGGGAAACCACCUGGAGACACGCAUGGACAGGUGGGCACGAGGCGCUACAUGGCUCCUGAGGUGUUGGAGGGGGCCAUUAACUUCCAGAGGGACGCCUUCCUGCGCAUCGACAUGUACGCCCUGGGCCUGGUGAUCUGGGAGGUCAUCUCGCGCUGCACCGCCACUGACGGCCCUGUGGAGGAGUAUGCGCUGCCGUUUGAGGAGCACCUGGGGCAGCACCCGUCUCUGGAAGACCUGCAGGAGGUGGUGGUGCAUAAGAAGCUGAGGCCCCUCUUCAGGGACUGCUGGCUCAAACACCAGGGCCUGGCGCAGCUGUGUGAGACGGUGGAGGAGUGCUGGGACCACGAUGCGGAAGCGCGGCUCUCAGCCGGUUGCGUGGAGGAGCGCAUCGCCCAGGUUGCCCGUGCAACAGGCAGCAACACCACCACCUCCGACUACCUGCUCUCCGUUGUCACCUCCAUGGCCAACCUGGACAUUCCGCUCAAAGAGGCCAGCACCUGAAAGGACGAGCGCUCACCUGACCUGAAGAUGCAGAGUGAGGGAGAGAGAGGCAGGGCUGUCGUCUGUUCCCAUCUCAGUGAAAAUUCUCCCCUUUUUAUUUUUGGAAGAAAAUGGCUGCUAUUUUACCUCACAGUUUUCAGGUUUUGAUUUUUUUUUUUUUUGUCUCAUGUUUUGUUUUUUCUUUGUGUGCUGGAUGCAACUCAGGCUCACUACACCACAGAGAGGGAGAGACUCACCUAUUACCUCAUCUUUCUCCUGUCAUCCUCAGCUCUUUGUGACCAUCCUGUGACUCUGCUGGGGAUCAGAGAACAAGCGAGAGAGAGAGAGCGAGAUUCGAAUACAUUACCUCAACUUUCUUUCACCACAUUUUUUUUCCCUGGAUGACCAUUUUUUGACUUUUUUUACCUCCGAAAGAUUACCUCUUGUUUUUCAUCCUCUCUUGCGGGUUGACCAUGUUGCGAGUGUGACGUCAGUGCUGAAGAGAGCGCGAAAGAUGGACUGCAACACACAAUACCUCAUAACUGUCAUCUUUCUGUGACCGAGCAGAAAGGCUGAGAAAGGGACUCAAACUAAUGUGUUACCUCAUGUUCCCAAAUUUUUUUUUUUCUCUCUCUCUCUUUUUGUCUCUAUCCAGUGAUGCUGUGAUGUCGUUUUUGUUGGUAUUGAUAGUUUUGACGGGUGUACCUCCACUCCUGCCGUAUUGCUGUCUGCACAGACGCUCCAAAUAUUACCAUGACGUUUGUGGCGUUCUAGAUGAUUAGAGAAGACUGUUACCCAUAAUGCAUUGUGACCACCCCCUUUCCUCCUUUCGUUCUUUCUCUCUUUCUCUUGCCCAAUCAGCUCUCUUUUCUUUUGUCAGGGAUAAUUUGAGCUGUGUUACAUAUUCAGGUCCUUUUUUAAUUCUUUCAUGAAAGGUUCACUCCUCAGACUCUGCCUCUUCUGUCGGCACCACUGCAGACCGAGUCUUAAUUUGCCUCGUUUCGAGUGUGGUAAUUGCUUAACGACUCGUGCAGGAGAAGACUCCUGGGGUGAGCAGGUCUAGGAGGGGAAUGUGUUCCAUGAGUUACUGGACUUAUGGAGGCCUCUCAAUGGCACAAUGUUGAAAGGCUUGGCCCUACAGGCCACAGCACUGGACUGCAGCUGAUUGGGUGGAGGACUGGAGGGGGAGGGGCUGGUAGAGGAGACCGGCCCAAUCAGGCACAUGAAGGGGAGGGGCUGGGCAGGGAUAAGUGGUCAGGGUCUAAACAAAUCUCAGGUCUCCCUCAGAUGUCAUGGUUCCUCUGCACAUACAGAGGUGUGUGUGUGUGUGUGUGUGUGUUUGUGUUUCCAGAACUACUCGUCUGCUAUCAGCAAUACAGCAUUGACCUACCCCAUACGUAAGGCUUACAUAAAUAUACAUACACUGAAACGUUGUUUGUCUGGCCACAGUGCUCCCGCUGACGAUCUCGCCUCAUGGAGUCUCCCCCCUAGCAGGCAGCUUUUUUACUCUGACGGUACCUCAGACGUUGAAAUCAAAUAUCACUUUUCUACUGUGUUUUCCUCUGUAUGUGUGUGUGUGUGUGUGUUUAAACAGUAGUGCAUGAUAGGAUUUUUAUCACACAAGACCUAGAUUUUGUUAGGUCUGGGAAAGGUCAAUGAUUCAUUUUAUCUCUGUGUGUGGUGUGAAAACAGCCCCAAAGCUUGCGGGGCAGUGUGCUUCGGCACAUCUUCUCUCAGGACUCAAACGGAAUGCCUCUUUACAGGCUGGGGGCUUCCUGCCUCAGGCGUACGGUCAUCUCCCAGCAAAGGGACAGACUCCUAAGAGAAAUACGCUAUCAGUACACACCCUCUCUUUUAAUGACCCUUUAGUUGCUGUUGUUGUGUUUUUUUUUUUGUGUUUUUCUCUUUCUAUAUAAUGGUUGGAGUUGUGCAUUAAUUGUUUCUGUUUUGACUUUUUGAGAUCAUUCCUUGCUACAGUGGAUGCUUUUGCACAGGUACUCAUUUCAGUGUCAAGGUUUAUUUAAAAAGAUAAGAUUGUCUCCUACCUCAUCUGGCAUUCAGUAAGAACAGGGUACCGCUAGGCUCAGCUACAGGCUGCAGAUAGCAGACGUUAUCAGAGGCUGCGUAGAGGGUCAUAAUGACAUGGCACGUGACCGAUAUGAGUAUUUACCCAUGUAAUAAGUGAAUAUCUGGUUCCGGCUGUGGGGAUGUUAGGACUGUAAAUUAUGAGUGUGUGGGGAGCUCCCGUGGAUCAUGAUUGUGUGGGGACCUCCGGGGGUCCGUCACCGGCUCAGUGCUCCUGCCAGCAGCCAAAGAUGGUCCACAUGCAGAAGCAGCACCAGGGAGAAAAGGCCUUCGCUCCAGAAGCCGGGCCAAAAACACUCCAGGCCGUCUGCAGCUCUGUGGGGGUGUUAGACUGCCAGAACCAGCUUCUGUGUAACCAUUAGGCUGGUGAUUGUCCAGCAGGGGGUCAGAUUGGACUGACCGUCCAGGUGUAAUGUGUGUGUUUGUGUAACUGGGAUACUGUUAGCCCAGUGAUGGGCCAAAACUAGCUCACAGUCCGGCAGCUGUGUGUGUGUGUGUGUGUGUUAAGCACAAGAGACUGCUGUGCCACUGGUUUUUUGUCCACGUACCCUCCUUCACUACUCCUUUGCUGAUCUACUUUAUCAUGGUUCGGAAAGCUGUGUGAUCUGCAGACUCUGUGCUUACUAUCCUGAGUUAUGAGUGCAUUUGCCAUCUUAACAUAUUUAUUUUAAUGUUUGCUUUUGAUCUGGUACCCUUCAUCUCCCCCAGGAUAAGGAGUGACUGGUGACUUACUACAGUGUGGGCUUGGUGUGUCCUCUAAGGCAAUGUACGAUUUCCUCCUCAAAAAAAAAAAGCGUCUGAGGUUUCCAAAGUAGAAUUGUUCCGAUCCCUGGUUUCACUAAGCAUUCAUGGAUAGAAUCGGAACUGCCUGCUGGUUGCUCAUGUGUUGUGGGCAGCUGGAUGCUCUGUUUAUUCCAAAGACUGUCCCCUGGGCAGUGGAACUGGAGCUCUUGGAGAACAUGGGUCCUCUUCAGACAUUUCUAAUCUGUGUGUGCGUGUGCGUGCUUUCUGUCCAUACUGACUGACUGGCUUGGUUGGCCUGUUUUCUUUUUGGCAAGGCACAUUUGUGCCCUUAAGCUGUCAUGGGGUGUGCGUUCUCUCCAGAAGUGAGCUGAAGUUUUACUCAGGUUUGGGGUGUGUGUUCUCUCCAGAAGUGAGCUGAAGUUUUACUCAGGUUUGGGGCUUUGAGCUGUUUUCAGAGCUGGUUCUGGGAGGGGAGCUGUGCCACAAGGGGAGGGGGAAUGAUAAGGCGUUGUAAUGUAGUGGCCCAGUAAGCAUGUAUUACAGCCUGACAAACGGCACUGCUUUUGGUACUCCUAGUGUUGUCAGUUCGCUCAUACCCAAAUGGACAUUGCAAUAUAUGCUAUGCUGGCAUCCACAACACUACUUCCUUCGUACGGGUUUUAGUCGUUUACGUUGAUAUGUGUUUAUUGUUUGUUUGUUUAUUUGUUUAUUUGUUUGUGUUUCUUUGUUCCCACAUAACCAAUGACCUCAGGCAGUCCCUUAUGAUUUGUGGUGACUGUUUUUUCUUGACUGAAAGCUAAUGUUCUACUUGUUUAUUUGUAUUGAUGUUGUUAUUUUUUACUCAUGUCAUCUCUUAAUGAAUUUAUACCUAAAUAUCCAUUAACAAUGUGAAUCCCCUGCCUGGUCCCUACCUCUUUCCAUAAAGGUGAACACUAAGGAUUAUGCUGGUAGUUUAGUCUCCAGUAGAGGGCAGUGUAAGAACUCUAUCGCUGUUCUCACAGUGUAUGAAAUGAAUCGUUUGGUACUGGCUGGAAUGAGGCAAGAAUGCUCAGAUUCAACAUGUGGAGACUUUGACGUCAUGGAUUCCUUCUAAACUGUUGUGACAUAUUGAAUUUGUUUAAGAUUUUAUUGAACACACUUUUAAGUUGAUGGUCUGCCCUUGGGACUUUUAUAAUACAGUUAAUACAGUGACCAUAAUGAAGCUUUACUUUAAAUGUAAGCAUUAGAGGGUUUUAUUUUUUAUUAUUAGAUUAUUUCCUGAUGAAUUUGAACUGCUGCAGUGACUUGCAUCUGACCCAUCUUAUAAGUGAUCUCAGGUGGAUUUGAAGUAUUUUUAAAACACUGAAAAUGUCAAAGGCACAAGCACACUUGGCUGUGCAGUCUCACACACCAUAGGAAGUGACCUCAGCGUGUUGUGUGCAACUUCACCUCCAUUCUGCUCUGAACCCCUGGUGUCCCUAGCUACCUCAGCUUCCUGUGUGGGCAUUGUAUCUGCACUCACACCUGUUUUAGAGCUCACUCAGUUCAACUCCAUGCGCUCUGGAGUCCACAUUUAGUCAGUAUUGAGCCCACUGAGGGGAAGCGCUGGCAGUCGAGUCAGACAUCAGUGUACAGAGUCCUGGUCAAAGUAGGUCUGUCUCUGUCUGGCUAUCUGUCUGUCUUGUUUGUUUGUUUGUCUGUUUGUUUGUUUUUCCUCAGGGUGUUAGAAUGUCCUGGGAAUUAUCUCAACUUCAUCAGGAUUGGCCAGACAAGUUCGGUUCUCCCUCUUGGAGUUUGUUUCUUAGUAUCGGAGUGUUACAUAAGGAGCGAUUAUAACUAAUAUGUGGGAAAUGUAGUAGAACAGUGGUUUUGCAUUUGAAUGCAUUUUACUAUUAUUAUGCUACAUAACGAGUAUUAUAUUCUGUGAAUAGUGUUUAAAAAAAAAAAAAGGGCAGAAAUGGAGAUUUCAUGUUUUGAUGCCAUCACUGAGAAGCUUUGAUAUCGGUGUUAAUCCGAGAUGGGAUGUGACGUUGGAUUGGACGUGGUACCGGUGUGGCCCGGACUAGCCUCACUGCCCUGUUCUCACAUGCUUUAGAACCUGCUAAUGAUGUCACCUGUAGAUUGGGCAGGAACAUGGUUUUGUUGUAACCUUGGAAAACGUAUAAAUUGCCUAAUGAUCAUUUUAACUGUGGUAGUUAGCAGUGAUCAAUGUAUCCUUGUGAUAAAGACUGGAUUCAUGGAUGGAUAUCACUUUGUUUUAUUAUUAUUGUUAUUCAUAUUAUUUUGAACUAUUUUUGUGGCCAGAUAAUGGAAAGAUGGCGCCUGUUUUAAGUCUGUGGCAGGGUUUUGCCACUGUUAAGACAAACUCAAUGAAUGUAGUCUUCUUACCUUAUGGACGCUCAUGAAUUAUUGUGUUUUUCCCCCAAGUACUCAAGUUUGUUUUGUAUUGUAAUAAUAAACCUACUAUUUGACUGUUAAA